RNAcentral lists this ribosomal RNA (465 nucleotides) under uncultured bacterium. RNAcentral describes it as "partial 16S ribosomal RNA". It matches the Rfam family "Bacterial small subunit ribosomal RNA", at positions 28 to 507 of the family's 1533-position model. The record is from RNAcentral.
GAUGAACGCUGGCGGCGUGCUUAACACAUGCAAGUCGAACGGAAAGGCCCUGCUUGCCGGGUACUCGAGUGGCGAACGGGUGAGUAACACGUGGGUGAUCUGCCCUGCACUUCGGGAUAAGCCUGGGAAACUGGGUCUAAUACCGGAUAUGACCUUCCAUGUAGUGUGGGGGGUGGAAAGAUUUAUCGGUGUGGGAUGAGCCCGCGGCCUAUCAGCUUGUUGGUGGGGUAAUGGCCUACCAAGGCGUCGACGGGUAGCCGGCCUGAGAGGGUGGACGGCCACAUUGGGACUGAGAUACGGCCCAGACUCCUACGGGAGGCAGCAGUGGGGAAUAUUGCACAAUGGGCGGAAGCCUUAUGCAGCGACGCCGCGUGGGGGAUGACGGCCUUCGGGUUGUAAACCUCUUUCGACAGGGACGAAGCUUCGGUGACGGUACCUGGAGAAGAAGCACCGGCUAACUACGUG